This is a long non-coding RNA of Harpia harpyja (harpy eagle), 3635 nucleotides long. RefSeq lists it as uncharacterized. NCBI's taxonomy places the organism in Eukaryota, Metazoa, Chordata, Aves, Accipitriformes, Accipitridae. The record is from RefSeq and is a predicted model, not a curated record. The transcript is spliced from 3 exons.
UCCGUCCCGGCACCGGUUGCGCAGCCCCGUGAUGCCAGGGGUGCGAGGCAGCCCCAGCUCUCGGCAGCUCCAGCACUGCUUCACUGGCACCGUGCUCGGUCCUCGUCCCCAAAUCAACGUCGCCCCGGGAGGCAGGAACAUGGCAAACAGCUCCAGGUCACUGGGAUAAGUCCAAGACCUCAGGCAAGAGCUGGCUGGGGAUCGCUGGCAUUCGGCAGCUGCGGCGGGAGCGUCAGCCCAGCUCCUCCAGAGCGGAUGACCCCAUGGCCACAGGCAAUGCCGUGCAGCCAUCGCUCCUGAUACUAGCAGAAGAGCCCAGGCUGGAAACCGGUUUCAAACCUGCAGUAUGCUAAGGACUGCUUCCUGAAAUACCAUGUCCAGCGCAGCUGUCUCGCCUUCCUUCUCCCUCACUGCCCCCUCCUCUCCCUCCUUCGUGUCCCGAGAGGCUGAACCACGCUGCAGACACGCGCAGACUCCUCGCUACCUCCUCUGCCUUGUGCUGUGCUCUGCCACCCAAGCAGCUCUGCUCCGAUGCCCGGAGGCAGCGGCAGGCACCGCUGCCAUCUCAGUAACCACCAAGAGGAGACGGGAAGGUGAUGGGACACGAGAUGGGAGAGUGAUGGGACACGCUUAUGUCUUCCGACCCCUCGGGAUCUGCCCUGGGCGCUCACUAACAGCCUGCUGCCCGAUGUAAGCACCAGAGUCUUCCUUCAGCCCAAGUGCUAAAAGUCUGUGGCUUUGGGUGAAUAUACUGCCUUUGAUCCUUUCUCAAGGCUGCGGUUCCCUGUUUACACAGACAACCACAGCUCUUUGUAUCCGCGCUCAUUAACUCUUCUGAAGCAUUUUCUGAUCACCAAGAUAAGACUCCCAGUGCCUGAGCAGGGGCUGAGCCCACAUCUCCGUGUUUCCGAUCCUGCCCCGACAGAUCCCUCUGAGCAUCUCACCAGUGAUUUGGGUAUGUUGAUGGUGGCAGCAGUCCCAGACAAACCCACGGGGGGACGGAUCUCUCCUCCCUGGGCAAGCACGCCCUUUGUUCCCCAGAAGGCAAACGUAGGAGGAGACCCACCUCAUGCAGGCUGCGCAACGGUGAGCCACAGGCGAGAGCCCCAUGGGCAGCGCUCCAUGGAGGACAUGCCUCAGUUAUUCUGCUUCUCCUUCACGUGCAUUAGGGGGUUUGGGGCAUUUUGGUGUUGCUUUUUUUUUUUUUUUUUUUUUGCUAGCUUUUAUCCUCCUAGCCUUUCUGGCAGGCUUUUGAACAUACAUAAUGACUUGGAAGGUGCAGCAAAGGUUCUGGCAUCCAUAGAGUACGGCGGGAGCAGAGCCAAGACGCGGGGCCGCACAGUGGUUUCAUCCCAUUUGCAAACUAUAAGGCUGCCUUUGAGCAGAGGGGGGCAGUGCGAAAGAACAUGUGCUAAACAUCAUGUUGGGAAGCUUAGCGCAUUAAGGGGAACAGCGUGCUGGCUACGGACAAAUGGAAAUGGUUUGCGAUUUGUUAUAGGAAAAGGGGAGGCAAGGAGCAGUCUCUUUUGAUUUAGGGUUUAGUGAACAGCUCUGGCAGGGCAGGUAGGAUGGUCUUUUCUAGGUGCUUUAGCCAAGCAAGUGUCAGAAUGGCAUAAAUCAGUUUUACCCAUGUCUGUCAGCCCUUUGAGAGGAACUCCUUGGUAUCUGAGAGCUCAUGCACAAAGAGGAGUAUAGACACAAGGUAAGGAGAUGGAAAGAGAGUCCUCCAGAAAAUAAAAACCCAGACAGCAACCUGCAACAUGUGCUUCAAGCCUGGGCUCUAAAAAACUUCCCUCAGCCACCUGGGAUGGCACACAGAUGAGCUGCUCCUGCUCAGCACUGCUAUGUCCUUAAUGAUCUCACAUGCAAGUGGUAGGUGUCUCCAACAGCUCCAGAGUAAAUGAAAGACCAACUUGUUAGGCAUUAAUUUACCCAGAGUGUUUGCAUAGUUCCCUUCCUGCCACAACAGAGGCCAUGACAUUUGAUGUCCUGUGGUGGACCUUGGUUGACCAGGCUGCUCUCAAAACCAAAAUACCUGCAAGACUGAAAGACUUAAUCCAUCAUCGUGCUACUUGGGAUGGUGGUACGGAUGGAAGAGUGAACUUCAGAGCUGAAGUUUUGGGUGCUGACUGAUGGGAUCGGUUGGGUCAGGUUGCCUGGGAUUUGGGAGGAAGGUUCAAAGCUGCGGUUAAAAACUGAAAUCUCCCCUUCAAAGGAAUUCCUAUCUGUCCCUUACUUUCUCUACCCCAAGCCUGCAGGAGACCAUUCAGUCAAUGCUGGGAUGGUGGGCAAGAGUCUGAUGACAGCUGCAGCCAGACGAGAAGCCCCAAGGUCCUGCAGAAACAGAAGUGCUUUUCCAGACCUUUUUAAACCCUGAGCAUCCACAAAAAUGAAAUGCCCAGGUAUCGGUUUUGCGAAAGAAAAAGGAUCAAAGAAGCAGAAGGAAAGCUGAGAGUCUUUCAGCAAAUGGAGAAGGGAUGCUUGCACUACCAGGUGGAGGGCAAGCAUAAGCACAGAAAGCUGCCUCGCACAGCUCUCACUGCGAACCGCAGCUCCUGUGCAGUCUUGCCUCGGAACAUCUUCUGAGCUGGGCAGAAGGACCAGCGCUGGGACUCUGGGCUGUGGUGCGCUGGACAAACCCCCGCUAUUUCCCACCUGAGUGACAAAGAAGCUGGUAUGAAAGCACCAAGCAUGCAUGGGCUCAAAGCCCCCUCCCGCUGCCCCAGAGUCCAACCGCACAUUGGGGGAUCUAGAUCUAGGGCUGGACUUGGCUCCCCUUUUUCUGGCCCUGUAGAUCUCCCCAGUGGUGCUCCAUGUCACGGUGCACAGAGGAGGGGUCUUUGAUGGCAACUCAGUGGCUGAGAUGUUUCUCUGCUGCUGUCCCCUGCCACAUGCUGAAGCAGUAGCAGGUCCCUCACUGAUGCUGCAUCUCUGGGGGCUGGAGAGAUGCUCUUCCUGGUGCUCGUACUCCACCCCAGCACGUGAAGGAGGAGGGGUAACAACUACCUGUGAAACAAAGACUGUUGCUCCCACUAUUCUUGUGGUACCCAGCACAAUGGCUCGCCAACCUGCUUUGCAGUGCUACAGAUAUAAAUGUUUAAUAACCAAUAACACAACAGUGGCUGGGUGGUGACAUACAUCAAACCGCAAGGCAUGCACCAGACUGUUCCUGAGCAGGGAAAAGCUUCUUCCCUCUGCAUCACUUACAGCUUUAAUGGAUAUAGCAAAUAAGUCACACCUGACAAGUAUAAAAAUGGCAUUUUCCCUCUGUGAUCUCACUGGGAGGCCAGAGACAGCAGUUCUGACAUCACAGCUAAUGAAAUCAAUUUUGCUUUGCAAGGAGGACCUGGUGCUGCCCCACGUGCUGGGCUGUGUAAUGGGAGUCCCAGGCAAACACAGGCAGUGGGACAUGGCUGAAGGUGCAGGCCAGCCUUGCUUUACCUCCUUUCCACCAGCAGCUCAAAUGCUCUGCUCCACCACUCCCCCCCCUUCUUUUUUCCAUUUGUUUGUUCAUUCCUCCUUUAUUCUCUGCAAUUGUCCUUAAUGGAAACAGCAUCUCAGCAGAAGUCACCCUGCAGGAAAGCUAUAGCACAGAGGGAUUUUUGUAGAUGGCUUUAAUAAAAACAUUGAAGGUC